GGAGGGUUAGCGUAACUGGCAACGCAGCAGACUUGAAAUCUGCCGCCCCUUGACCGGGGCUUGGGGGUUCGAGUCCCUCACCCUCCG
Molecule: transfer RNA, 87 nt
Filed under: bacterium
Lineage: Bacteria
Also listed under: 1 other name
Description: tRNA-Ser
Rfam family: tRNA
About the family: Transfer RNA (tRNA) molecules are approximately 80 nucleotides in length.
Source: RNAcentral